CGGGGUAGGUACUUUGACUUGCAUUUCUAGGCUUGUGAUUUUAGUUUUGUAUUUUUCAAUUUUACCCUUAAUCAUGAGAUGCUUCUGUUAGGAAUUUUUCCUUUUUAGCUGAAGGAGUUGUGUUGAUGUUGGAUUCAGGAAUCACUUGUAAGUCCAUGCAUUUUCUUGUAUGGAGUUCUGAUAUGCAGCUUUCUCCCGCUGUUUGGUGUUUCUUCCCACCUAUUUCUGGGUGACUUUUAAAAGUGUCAUGUUGCGCCCUUUCCAGAUGAUGUCACUUGGCCUUCAUGGUAUUCAAAUAGAUAUGUUGAAUGGAUUAUUGAUUGUAAUCAGCGC
Molecule: unclassified non-coding RNA, 333 nt
Filed under: Hevea brasiliensis (rubber tree)
Lineage: Eukaryota; Viridiplantae; Streptophyta; Magnoliopsida; Malpighiales; Euphorbiaceae
Source: RNAcentral